GGUGAACUCACAUAGAUUCAGAAAGCAGGGAUUCAGGAACAAGGAAACAAGCCCUCCACUGCUGGGAGAGGCGUGGGGAAAACUGAAACAGGGGAACUCUCGGAAGAAAUGACAACCUGUUCCUCCUGCCUUUUGGGAUCUUGCGAUGUGGGCCCGGAUUUGCUUUAUAUCAUUUUCUUGUUGUUCCAUGUCACGUGGAAGAAUGCCUUGGAGGAGGCUGUCUGCAAACACUGGCAGUAUUCUUAGAGGAAGCUUGGGUUUGGGGCCUAGACACAUCCAGUCUCCAUGAAACGAUGAGAACAGCUGUCCUGAAAUGACAGAGCAAGAAACCUGCGCAGCAACAGCCUCAGAGAGGCCCCUUAAUAUACCUUCUCUACUAUGAAAAAUCAGAUUUUGUGAACAAUUUGGCAUGAGGAGAGAAAGGAACCUGAAGUUUUUAGCAAGGAAGCUUCCUGUCUCCAAGGGGAUUUUUUCCCACAGAAAUAUAUUGCUGAUUGGAUGUUGCCUCUCUAAUUUUGGAGACCAUAUGUUCUAGGUAUUCCGGGAAAAAUCUGCAUUUCAAAUCCUGGAUCCAUUGUUCCCAAAAGCCAUGUAAGAAUCCCAACAGAGAUAGGUCCCUCUCAUGGAUAUGUCCUAUGUCCCAGGGAUACCGCUCAAAGCAUUUUGUGGCUGAAGACAUUUAAUCUUUCAUAGAAACUCCUGAAGAAGAUGUUAUUGCUAUUAUAAUCAUAUGUAUUUGGAAAUGAAGACUUUGAAAGGUUCUAACUUAUUCAACAUUUCUCAACCAGCAUGUGGCAAAGUUCUGAAAGUCUGUUAUUCUAACCAACAUCCUACCUUGAGGAGCAAUGAUGUUCACCUGUCUGGUUGCCACAACUCACGUCCUUCUGUGGGCAGCAGAGUUCCAAGACGUUCCCCAAGAUCUCAUUUUCUGGAGGUGCAUGUCUCCCGUGACCCCCUCUUUGGAUUGCCCGCAGAGCCCGUGAAGAUGGUGUUAUCACUCCUGUGAUUACUUUACUGAUCAGGUGACUUUGAGUCAAUCAAAAGGUAGAUUAUCCAGGUGUGCCUGAUUUGAUCAGGUGGUCCCUUAAGGAGGCUUAAAAUGACCCUUUCUGAAGUAGAGUAAUUGGAAAAGUAAGAGGGUCUAUGGGUGGGGUCACCUGGCAAGGAACUGAACUCAGCCUCCAUGAGCUCUGGCCACCAGCUGACCUUUAGCAAGAAAGCAAAUCUUUCUUUGGUCAGUCUCCACAACAGGACGAAGCUGGCUGAGCCCUUGCCUUUGGCCCUGUGAGAUGCUGACCCGAGUAUCCAGCGAACACGUGCCAGAGUCCUGACCCAUGGAAACUGAGAUGAUGAGUCUGUGUUGCUUUAAGCCACUGUGUCUACAGUAAUUGGUUAGACAGCAAUAGAAAACUAAUAAACCUCCCUCUUUUUCAUUUACCAUCUUU
This 1445-nucleotide long non-coding RNA is filed under the name Homo sapiens (human). Its description in RNAcentral is "HSALNT0300239". The record is from RNAcentral. Lineage: Eukaryota; Metazoa; Chordata; Mammalia; Primates; Hominidae.